This 1371-nucleotide long non-coding RNA is filed under the name Homo sapiens (human). Its description in RNAcentral is "non-protein coding lnc-CENPP-20:9". The record is from RNAcentral. Lineage: Eukaryota; Metazoa; Chordata; Mammalia; Primates; Hominidae.
CUCAGGGCACCCAUCUCCUUCCCAGCUCUUGCUGUAGGCCAUCAAGGACGAGGCUGGCUUUUCCGCACCCCCGCCUGGCUAUGAGCAGGACAGCCCCGUCUCCUAUGACCGUUCUCAGGGGCAGUUUUCUCCGGUGGAGGAGAGCCCCCCUGACGACAUGCCCGAAGCCUGGCUCUUCCCUGUGAGAUGAUGCUGGUUUUGCCACUGUUUCCUGCCCUCUCUGACCACCUGUACUUCCCGGGCUGGGGCUGCUGGGGGCUCCCAGAGUUGUGGACUGGGCAGGGGGCACCUUCAGUCUCUGGAAGCCAAUGAUCUGUGCUCUGCAGGGUGGGCCCUCUGGCCGUGAUCAUACGGUGCUGACUGGCCCCGCAGGGCCAAAGGAGCUCUGGGAGCUGGUGUGGCAGCACAGGGCUCAUGUGCUUGUCUCUCUUUGCCCACCCAAUGUCAUGGAGAAGGUGACAGAGCAGAGGACAGAGGAAGGGAGGCUCAGGAGUUAGGGGUGAGGAUGGAGGCGGGUAGUUUGUGGUGCUGUCUGUGACCAGGGCAGGGGCAGAGAUCUCAGGAAGUUGCCUGAGCAGCCCUAACUUGGUCCCAGCCAUAGGAAUUCUGGCCAACGGAGAUGCAGCCCGUAGUCACAGACAUGGUGACGGUGCACUGGGUGGCUGAGAGCAGCACAGCAGGCUGGUUCUGUACCCUCCUCAGGGUCACACAUGGGGAGAGCAGGAAGGAAAGGGAGGUGCAGAGACUGCAAUUUCCAUACCUGGAGCCUGGGCAUGAGCUGCCCGCCACCACCCUGCUGCCCUUCCUGGCUGCUGUGGGCCAGUGCUGCUCUCGGGGCAACAACAAGAAGCCGGGCACACUGCUCAGCCACUCCAAGUGUUGUUGGACAAUGGUCUUGGGGGAGUGGACAAUGGUCUUGGGGGAGCGGACACUGGAAGCCCCUCCCUGCCCUUCUGGCAUAGCCUCAGAUCUCCCUGGGCUCUGCUUGGGUUAUGGGUCAAAAGGACACAGUCUCACAAUGCCCCUGUCUUCUCCACACCCUACCCUGUCCUCAGGAAUAUGGUGGGAAUUUACCGCCUCCCUCCCUAGGUCCAGGCUGGCCGGCUGACCAAGUGUCCGGUGUCCCUUCUCAGUCCCUGCGCCCAGGUUGGGUUUUCCCACAUCCGUGGACACCCCCGCCACACCCCCUUUAGGUACCUCAUCCACCUCUAGGUCAGUUGCAGCAAGGGUGCAACCCAGCUGGGCACCUUCCUGGCCAUGGAGCAGCUGCUGCAGCAGGCAGGGUCUGAGUGCACCGUGGAUAUCUUUAACGUGGCCCUGCAGCAGUCUCAGGCCUGUGGCCUUAUGACCCCAACACUGGUGAGAGGCGAC